UACGGGGGGGGCAAGCGUUGUUCGGAAUUAUUGGGCGUAAAGGGCGCGUAGGCGGCUUGGCAAGUGGAAGGUGAAAUCCCUCGGCUUAACCGAGGAACUGCCCUCCAAACUGCUUGGCUUGAGACCGGGAGAGGUGAGUGGAAUUCCCAGUGUAGCGGUGAAAUGCGUAGAUAUUGGGAGGAACACCAGUGGCGAAGGCGGCUCACUGGACCGGUACUGACGCUGAGGCGCGAAAGCGUGGGGAGCAAACAGG
RNAcentral lists this ribosomal RNA (253 nucleotides) under uncultured bacterium. RNAcentral describes it as "partial 16S ribosomal RNA". It matches the Rfam family "Bacterial small subunit ribosomal RNA", at positions 524 to 776 of the family's 1533-position model. The record is from RNAcentral.